GGGGCCGUAGGGUAGCUUGGACCAUCCUAGCGGCUUGGGGUGCCGUUGACCUGAGUUCAAAUCUCAGCGGCCCCACCA
Molecule: transfer RNA, 78 nt
Filed under: Thermoplasmata archaeon
Lineage: Archaea; Methanobacteriati; Thermoplasmatota; Thermoplasmata
Also listed under: 2 other names
Description: tRNA-Pro
Rfam family: tRNA
About the family: Transfer RNA (tRNA) molecules are approximately 80 nucleotides in length. Their secondary structure includes four short double-helical elements and three loops (D, anti-codon, and T loops).
Source: RNAcentral